RNAcentral lists this long non-coding RNA (2273 nucleotides) under Canis lupus familiaris (dog). RNAcentral's name for it is "lncRNA (ENSCAFG00000052770.1)". Lineage: Eukaryota; Metazoa; Chordata; Mammalia; Carnivora; Canidae. The record is from RNAcentral.
UUUUUUUUUUUUUAAGGUGCUAUUUAUUUGAGAGAAAGCAAGCAUAGAGGGAAAGGGAGAAGCAGACUCCCUGCUAAGAAGAGAGCUUGAGGUGGGACUUGAGCCCAGGACCCUGGGAUCACAACCUGAGCUGUACAGGCAGAUGCUUAACUGAAUGAACCACAAGGAGAGUCUUAAUUGUAGGACUGAGAGGGGGAACCAUAGGCAAGAGAUGGCCAAUUGGGCAAGGCCACGAGAUAAGACAAUUGAGAGUGAGGCAUCGGAGUCAUAGGCAGGUGAGGCCAGCCGCUCACCCGUGUGGGACAGAGGAGAAGGGGCAGGCAAUGAGUGCAAUCUCAGACCUAGGGAGCCAGCCACAGAAAGGGGUCUAUCUACUACACGGUUGGGGAGCAGGGUCUAGAAGAUGAGGCCAAUCUGGCUAAAGACCCAGGGAAGGAAGAUUCCAGGUAUAACUGCACAUUGAAACCAGGGAAAAGAUAAAAUUACUCCAGGGGAUCCUGCAGUGUGAAAACAGAUAAAGGUGGAAGAGAUGGGUUCUUUGGAACCCUGAUAUUCUAGAAAAGAAUGGAUAAAAAUGAGUGUGUGAAGGAACGAAGGGAAAAACUGCUCAUCAUGGCGACGUUGCCAUUUUGGAAUUACAAAAGGCAAGGAAGAAGCUUCCAUAAAAAGACAUGGGCACAAUGCCCAGUAGUAUGAAGCAUAAUUAGUUUUUAUCCAGUGCAUAAAGAUAUUUGGUGCAUUCUCAGUCAUGCAUUGUUCCUGUGGACGUAGUAUUUCUCUCAGAGCUGCCUUCUCAAAGAGCAAGUGAACAUUGCUGACAAAGAGGAAAAGAGAAAAAUAAUGGUUCAUUUCCAAAGCAUCAGCAGGGACUCGGUGAAUGUGUUUUAAUUGAAAAACCAAAGUUAGAAGAGAGGGAUAGCUCUGGUAAGUAUAAUAAAAUAGAGACAAACAAGAAUCGCUGCUUUCCUCUUUCAAUUUAGUCCAUUUCUAUUACGGAUCCACAGACAUUUUAACUUGCAUAAUCUCCAAGCGCUAUCAAGGAUUCAAUAUCAUUUGCCUUAGUUAAAAGUCAGGACAAAACACAAACAGCAAAAUCUAACAUUGCCAGCUUGCUUUUUCUAUUUUAAACUCCAUUUGUACUCUAGCAGGUGAGUGGAAGACUAUUUUUAUACUUUCUUUAAGGAACAAAAGAGCCCAUAUUUGGGUCCCAAGUGGUAAGUCUAAGUGUCAACAUCACCUGAAGGAUAAUGUUCUGACACUGAGCAUACAUGCUGUGUGUCUUUACCCACAAGGGAUAUUUGAGUUAAAAGCCCAAGAGUUCAGCGGGGCCGGACUACCCAGGCAACUGCAAAGACUUUGUUCUUUCCAAGAACCCUGUGCACAGCUGCCAAAGGGCUGACGCCACUGGAAGGAGCAGCCCAGCAGCUCUGUCACACAGCAGAUGGGGGAGGGCUGGCGCCACCAGUGGCUAACUGCCCCCAGGGCCUGCUGUCACUGCUCAUGGCUCACAGGCUCCACUUCUCCUGGCCCAUCAGCCAUCUCGGCUGUGGGGAUAUAAAGACAGGGAGAUGGUCUGCCAGCCAACUGGCCCAUCGACACCAUGGACAUGGAACAGAGCUGGGUUCAGUUCCAAGUGCAGGCAGAUCACUGAAGGCAGAGACCCGGAGUAUCCUGCCCCGGGAGGGGCCGGAGAGCCUGCACCAAAGUUCACUGGAGGGAAUUUGGGCUCAUGGUUAUUCCUUCUCCUUUGCAGUAUUACCAAAAUUAGCUUCUAUUCAAAUUUGUUAACUUUUCUUUUUUUAAUUGUUCAUGUAUUUAUUCAUGAGAGACACAGAGAGACAGAGGCACGAGACGUAGGCAGAGGGAGAAGCAGGCUUCCUGCAGGGAGCCCGAUGCGGGACUCGAUCCCAGGACCCUGGACCUGAUCAGGACCUGAGCCAAAGGGAGAUGCUCAAGCCCUGAGCCACCCGGGGAUCCCUAACUGUUUUUUUUUUUUUUUUUUAAUGAAGACAUUUUUUGCAGCAGUUUUAGGUUCAUAGUAAAAUUGAGGGGAAGGCACAGAGAUUUCCCCCACAAUGCAUAGGCUCCCCCAUUAUCGACGUUCCCCAAUAGAGUGGUACAUCCUUGCAGCUGAUGACUCUGCGCUGACACACCAUCAUCACCCAGAGUCCACAGUGUACAUUAAGGUUCACUAUCGGUGUUGCACAUCCUGUGGGUUUGGACAAAGGUAUAAUGACCAAUAUCCACAAUUAUGGUAUCACACAUUGUCAUUU